ACACAACUGAUGAGUUUAAAAUAAGAUGAAACACGCGUCUUGGAU
RNAcentral lists this non-coding RNA (45 nucleotides) under Schistosoma mansoni. Lineage: Eukaryota; Metazoa; Platyhelminthes; Trematoda; Strigeidida; Schistosomatidae. The record is from RNAcentral.